CAACAAACCAACAAGGCAAACAUCAAUAUAAGAAUGGAUCUGGUAUCAAGAGAAAUACAMAAGUUAUCUUACAAAUUGAAAGAGGCUAUUGAUAAUAUUGGAUUGCGAAGGAUAAUCAAGACGAGACUUUUGCUGUUGUGUGUUGUGACCUUAAGAAAAAUGCAAAAACUUAUUUUUAGUGAAAUUAACUAGUACUAUGUAGCCACCUAUUUGAAAAAGGCUGUCAGAGUAAGUGAUAGGUAUUUCCAAAAUGGAAAAUAAUUUUAAAAAAUGGUUUCUUCAUCUUCAAACAACAUAGUCAUGAUAUCUUGACACUUAAAUUUGCAACUGUCAUUGAUGAUAAUAAGAAGCAGCAACACAAGUUAUUUCAGCUAUUCUURGAUGUUGGAAUUACCUUGUAAUUACUAUUGCUCAGACAACCUUUUUUAAAUGGAUAUAAUUUAUUUAUGAUAUAUGUAUUUAUGUAAGUGAUGCAUACGAGUAUUUCAGGGAGAGUUUUUUCAGUAAUUGUUGAUGAAAGUGUUACCACGGAAGAAGAUUGAAAGAGAUKAAAGAWGUUUGUUCACUUUGAAAAAGCAAYGGUAUAGACAGUGUUUGUCUAUAAUAUAGUAACAUAUGAACACAAAAGUUUGAAAAUUAUUAGUUGUGGUUGAUUGGCUGCGGGGAAAUUUGCAUGAUGGUGUCAUUUGACUACCACUACCAAAAAUGGUCUUCUUGUUCUAAUUUGUGUUUCUUUAUGUGAAUAGUAGGAAACUAACACUUGCACUAACAGGUUAUGUGACCCAAUCCCUUGAAGGCAAUUCUGUAGUUUAACACUAGGGUACAUCCCUUCUGUGCAUAACCUAAGACAUGGCAGGAAAUAUUCAGACUUUGUUGUAACAUUAAAAGGAUAAGGUUUAGCCAUUAAUUAGCAGCAAAACUUCUGUGAUAUGAUUCUUAGGRCCAUGAUUUGGUGGCUAUCUUGAAACUUGCCAUAGUCCUCCCUCAGUUGCUGUAUGUUUUGGGGCACCAUCGAAAAUAAUAUAGAUAUUUAAAAGCUUGCCUCCUUUUGAGUACAUCUAUUGUUUGAUCRACUCUAUCAGAUACCCUGUCAUAAGGAUUUGUGUGGGAAAAGUCCUGGUCACGUGACCUGUUAGUGCAAGUGAAAUCCUGUUACAUUUUCCAGAAAAUAGCGAAAAAUUCACAGCKACRAAAAGCAUGUUUUAAGGGCAACGAGUGGCSGCAYACUGGCACAUGCGUGUGUGAUUUUACCUGAAUAUUCCUGUCAGUCAGUUGUUUGUGAGGAAGGUGUAGUUGGUUYUGUGUGAAUGGGACUUGCAGUAAAGUAAAAUAUUUCAACCCUUGAA
Long non-coding RNA from Actinia tenebrosa (Australian red waratah sea anemone), 1346 nucleotides. The record is from RefSeq and is a predicted model, not a curated record. Lineage: Eukaryota; Metazoa; Cnidaria; Anthozoa; Actiniaria; Actiniidae.